CGAGUGCACAUUCGUCUCUUCGUUCAUUUUUAUUCCACGAAAUAUGGACGAGUGAGUGACAACUAAACUUUUAAUUUCAUUCGUAAUUCAAUCGUCAUUGAUGCUCUAUUUUUUUGAUGUUUUACUUAUUGUGUGAAAAUAACAUUCAAUUCCACGACAGAAAGUUUGCUGGGGCGCUUAGCUCGCGAGUUUGAGAAUUAAAAUCAGUCCGGCAGCACCAAGAAAAUUAUUUACGUUUUUUGUGAACUGUGUGUUUAUCAUGAAAUUGUUCAUGUGCAAUGUUCCAACUAAAAAAAAAAUUUUGUUUGAUAUUGUGAUGUGAUCACAAAAUUGAAAUUUUUAAAACCAACAACAAAUAUUCACCGAAAGGAAUACGGUGUGUCGACUAAUUGGAUUAACCUAUCAGGCAAAAAAC
Long non-coding RNA from Bradysia coprophila, 415 nucleotides. Lineage: Eukaryota; Metazoa; Arthropoda; Insecta; Diptera; Sciaridae. The record is from RefSeq and is a predicted model, not a curated record.